RNAcentral lists this ribosomal RNA (447 nucleotides) under uncultured bacterium. RNAcentral describes it as "bacterial SSU rRNA". It matches the Rfam family "Bacterial small subunit ribosomal RNA", at positions 29 to 524 of the family's 1533-position model. The record is from RNAcentral.
AACGAACGCUGGCGGCAGGCUUAACACAUGCAAGUCGAACGCCCCGCAAGGGGAGUGGCAGACGGGUGAGUAACACGUGGGAACGUGCCCUUCGCUUCGGGAUAGCCUCGGGAAACUGGGAGUAAUACCGAAUACGCCGUAUUGGGAAAGAUUUAUCGGCGAAGGAUCGGCCCGCGUUGGAUUAGCUAGUUGGCGGUGUAAUGGACCACCAAGGCUACGAUCCAUAGCUGGUCUGAGAGGACGACCAGCCACACUGGGACUGAGACACGGCCCAGACUCCUACGGGAGGCAGCAGUGGGGAAUCUUGGACAAUGGGCGCAAGCCUGAUCCAGCCAUGCCGCGUGAGUGAAGAAGGCCUUAGGGUUGUAAAACUCUCUCGCUGGUGAAGAUAAUGACGGUAACCGGAGAAGAAGCCCCGGCUAACUUCGUGCCAGCAGCCGCGGUAAU